RNAcentral lists this ribosomal RNA (233 nucleotides) under uncultured bacterium. RNAcentral describes it as "partial 16S ribosomal RNA". It matches the Rfam family "Bacterial small subunit ribosomal RNA", at positions 257 to 504 of the family's 1533-position model. The record is from RNAcentral.
GUAACGGCCCACCAAACCGACGAUAGGUAGCCGACCUCAGAGGGUGAUCGGCCACAUUGGAACUGAGACACGGUCCAAACUCCUACGGGAGGCAGCAGUGGGGAAUAUUGGGCAAUGGAGGCAACUCUGACCCAGCAACGCCGCGUGAGUGAUGAAGGUCUUCGGAUUGUAAAACUCUUUAAGUGGGGACGAAGAAAGUGACUGUACCCACAGAAUAAGCCUCGGCUAACUAC